Molecule: microRNA, 23 nt
Filed under: Pristionchus pacificus
Lineage: Eukaryota; Metazoa; Nematoda; Chromadorea; Rhabditida; Neodiplogasteridae
Description: ppc-miR-8364w-5p
Source: miRBase by way of RNAcentral
UCUUCAUUCCAUACGCUAUCUCG